Molecule: ribosomal RNA, 801 nt
Filed under: Triticum aestivum (bread wheat)
Lineage: Eukaryota; Viridiplantae; Streptophyta; Magnoliopsida; Poales; Poaceae
Description: partial small subunit ribosomal RNA
Source: RNAcentral
AUGCCUCCCUUUCUCGAGCGCCCCCGCGCCCUGCCGGCCUCGGCCUCCCGCGGCUGCCGCUGCUGGCCCCGCUGCCGAGCUCUCCACCGCGCCCGAACCCUCCUCUCGCUCGUCGCCCCGCCUCUAGGGUCCUCCCCUUGCUCCCGCGCUCCGCCCUCGCCGGAGAAGAGAGCCAGGCCGGAGCCCAGUCGGCCUCCUCGCCUCCGUCGCGUCCCGUUCCAUCAGCCCCACGCCCGGCCUCCGCAACUCCACUGGGACGGCCAACUCCGGCGGCCCUCCGUCGCCCUCAAGCUCGUUCAGCGGCCCCCUGUCUUCUCCUCGUGCCCGCCGCCGUCUUCGUCUGCGCCCGGAGGAGCCCGCCGCCUCCCUGCCUUCUGCUCGACCUCGUUCUCGGCCCCGAGAUUCUGCUGCCAUGGCGUCCCGAGCUCCGCCACACCUCUGCUCCUGCUUCCCCUUCAUGCACCUGCCAACCACCACCGCACCGAGUCUUUUGCCUUGCUUCAUUUUGGUUUGGAGACUGAGACGAGACCGCCAAGAUGCACCCUGGUUUUGCCAAGGCCCUCUGUUCGACUCCGUGUACAACUACACGGUGAGACGCCAAGUACCACGACGACCAUCGCUUGCCAAGUUCGACCACAUGGUGACGCGUCAAGUACCUCUACCGCGUCUACGGGAUCGCCAAGAACGCGUACCUCGACGACCCGCCAAGUACCCCUUCGGAUCGCCAAGUUCAUCUACCACGUGUACCACUACCGUCGACCCUCGAAGACCCCGUGGACCCCGAACAUCCACGGGACAUGA